UACGUAGGGCGCAAGCGUUGUCCGGAAUUAUUGGGCGUAAAGAGCUCGUAGGCGGCCACUCAAGUCGAAUGUGAAACCUCGAGGCUUAACCUCGAGCCUGCAUUUGAUACUGGGCGGCUAGAGUCUGGUAGGGGGAUCUGGAAUUCCUGGUGUAGCGGUGAAAUGCGCAGAUAUCAGGAAGAACACCGGUGGCGAAGGCGGGUCUCUGGGCCGAUACUGACGCUGAGGAGCGAAAGCGUGGGGAGCGAACAGG
RNAcentral lists this ribosomal RNA (253 nucleotides) under uncultured bacterium. RNAcentral describes it as "partial 16S ribosomal RNA". It matches the Rfam family "Bacterial small subunit ribosomal RNA", at positions 524 to 776 of the family's 1533-position model. The record is from RNAcentral.